Molecule: ribosomal RNA, 34 nt
Filed under: Cinnagrostis minima
Lineage: Eukaryota; Viridiplantae; Streptophyta; Magnoliopsida; Poales; Poaceae
Description: partial 18S ribosomal RNA
Source: RNAcentral
UGAACCUUAUCAUUUAGAGGAAGGAGAAGUCGUA